ACAGCGAUACGGCUUUUCGCUU
RNAcentral lists this microRNA (22 nucleotides) under Plutella xylostella (diamondback moth). RNAcentral describes it as "pxy-miR-8514-3p". Lineage: Eukaryota; Metazoa; Arthropoda; Insecta; Lepidoptera; Plutellidae. The record is from miRBase by way of RNAcentral.